CCCUCCGCCACCCCGACGCAUAACCUUUAUUUAAUUAUAAGUAAAUGUGAACUCGUGAAAUGACUUACAUUUCAGUUUAAAUUUCAUUGUAUGACUUCAGACGACUUGGAAUAUAGUGCAAAAGCUGUAUGGACCACUGAUGGUUCCCUAACUAGAUUAACCAGAAUGAUGUUCUUGUUGUCAAUAACCUUCAACCGUUAAUUCUGGUGGAAUAGCAUAUCUGUGCUGGUGCACAAGCUAGACCAGCAUAAGCUUGGACCAUCAUGGAAACUCAUUUUCAGCAAGAUCGGUCCUACGUCCCUGAAUGAAAAAACUGGCAGGAGUGUGAGAGCAUAAGAAAGCUGCAAUAGGAAUGUAUCAUGAUUACAUUCAUAUAAUACUCAGUUAGAACUCAAUGUCAGCUUCCAUUCAUCUUACCUCUCUCCCUCAUCAUAUUGGGUCCUCGGAGACAGAGUUCAUGCUUGAUUGAUACUUCUUCAAAGAAGAUUUCUCAAAGCCCAGUCUGAGGGGUUUCACCAAAACCAAAUGGACUUUAUGUUGGUAGUACGUUCACAGCAUUUAACAGAUUACAGUACAUAACAACACAAUGUACAAAAAACCCACUAGAGGCGAGCCAGAAUACAAUUUAUUUUUAGUUCAACUAUAUUGAACGUAUCGGAAAUAACUUCAGAAAUGUCAAACAUGUCCUGCGAGUUGGUAUACAUUUGCAGUUUUCAGAAAGAGAAUGCUACUAUUCUGUGAUGGCAGUCAAUUUUGGGAGCUUUUCUUAGUGUUUCUGAUUAAAUUUAAGAUCUCUUAGGAUGUGUGACAUGACUUUGCCCUCACUUUUCACCUCGCUCUAUCUCCUUUUGCUCGCUCGCUCGCUCUAUCUCUUUCUCACACUUACUCUGUUCCUCGCUGUUUUCGAAUAAAGCAGAGGCUGGUGCCGCUCGUGAAAUGCUCUACUUCCCCCUGACACUUUUAGAAAUGGCAGUGAGAAUUCAUAAAUAUUCAUGUUCCACCACAGCUUCAUUGUGCUGCACAUCUACAGGGCUGAUAGAGGGAGAGCUUUUCUAUUAGCCGCUUUUCUGCUCAGAUAAUGUUGAGUUCUAAAGAGAGGCAUUUUGGAGACUGGAUGACAGGACAGAGAAGGAGAGAGGCCGGGAGGAAAGGACAGAAAAGGCCGA
Cyprinus carpio carpio is the source of this 1166-nucleotide long non-coding RNA. Lineage: Eukaryota; Metazoa; Chordata; Actinopteri; Cypriniformes; Cyprinidae. The record is from Ensembl.